RNAcentral lists this ribosomal RNA (433 nucleotides) under uncultured bacterium. RNAcentral describes it as "partial 16S ribosomal RNA". It matches the Rfam family "Bacterial small subunit ribosomal RNA", at positions 29 to 507 of the family's 1533-position model. The record is from RNAcentral.
AACGAACGCUGGCGGCAUGCCUAACACAUGCAAGUCGAACGAGACCUUCGGGUCUAGUGGCGCACGGGUGCGUAACGCGUGGGAACCUGCCCUUAGGUUCGGAAUAACUCCCCGAAAGGGGUGCUAAUACCGGAUAAUGUCUUCGGACCAAAGAUUUAUCGCCUUUGGAUGGGCCCGCGUUGGAUUAGCUAGUUGGUAGGGUAAAAGCCUACCAAGGCGACGAUCCAUAGCUGGUCUGAGAGGAUGAUCAGCCACACUGGGACUGAGACACGGCCCAGACUCCUACGGGAGGCAGCAGUGGGGAAUAUUGGACAAUGGGCGAAAGCCUGAUCCAGCAAUGCCGCGUGAGUGAUGAAGGCCUUAGGGUUGUAAAGCUCUUUUACCCGGGACGAUAAUGACAGUACCGGGAGAAUAAGCUCCUGCUAACUCCGUG